CGGGGAGUGGCGCAGUCUGGUAGCGCACACGGUUUGGGUCCGUGGGGUCGGAGGUUCGAAUCCUCUCUCCCCGACCA
This 77-nucleotide transfer RNA is filed under the name Pseudomonadota bacterium. RNAcentral's name for it is "Proteobacteria bacterium tRNA-Pro". It matches the Rfam family "tRNA". From Rfam's summary of the family: Transfer RNA (tRNA) molecules are approximately 80 nucleotides in length. Their secondary structure includes four short double-helical elements and three loops (D, anti-codon, and T loops). The record is from RNAcentral. Lineage: Bacteria; Pseudomonadati; Pseudomonadota.